Molecule: unclassified non-coding RNA, 343 nt
Filed under: soil metagenome
Description: partial contains 5.8S ribosomal RNA, internal transcribed spacer 2, and large subunit ribosomal RNA
Rfam family: 5.8S ribosomal RNA (bases 1-120)
Source: RNAcentral
GAUGAAGAACGUAGCGAAACGCGAUAAGUAAUGUGAAUUGCAGAAUCCAGUGAAUCAUCGAAUCUUUGAACGCACAUUGCGCCCGCCAGCAUUCUGGCGGGCAUGCCUGUUCGAGCGUCAUUUCAACCCUCGACCUCCCCUUGGGGAGGGCGGCGUUGGGGACCGGCAGCACACCGCCGGCCCUGAAAUGGAGUGGCGGCCCGUCCGCGGCGACCUCUGCGCAGUAAUACAGCUCGCACCGGGACCCCGACGCGGCCACGCCGUAAAACACCCAACUUCUGAACGUUGACCUCGAAUCAGGUAGGACUACCCGCUGAACUUAAGCAUAUCAAUAAGCGGAGGA